UACCAAACAGAUAUCUAGAAACCUCCUCCACCACCACCACCACCACCACCGCAACCUCCUCCUCCACCACAGCCGCCUCCACCGCCAGACGCUCCAGCAUAUGGUCUAUGUUUCCUCUCAUUUUUUUAGAUUUUUUUUUCACCGUUUCAAACAAAUACGGCCAUGGCUAUUACGGAGAUGGUGGCUGCAACCGCCAAUAUUCCCCAAACUAAACCAAAGCCACUGGUUGGACUUGGAACGUCGGUCAAUAUGCUGCUCGCCAUAUUCUCUUGUGUGUAUUUUGGUUAAGUUUGAGAUUUUGAUUCGGUUUUAAUUUGUGUAUAAAAAGCAUUAUUUGUAGGUAAUUCUUUGAAUGGACAAUGUUGGCUUACCGCUUACGUUACGUGUGUCG
RNAcentral lists this long non-coding RNA (391 nucleotides) under Eutrema salsugineum. RNAcentral describes it as "long non-coding RNA (ESAL_LNC001937)". Lineage: Eukaryota; Viridiplantae; Streptophyta; Magnoliopsida; Brassicales; Brassicaceae. The record is from RNAcentral.